Molecule: non-coding RNA, 306 nt
Organism: Cinara cedri
Lineage: Eukaryota; Metazoa; Arthropoda; Insecta; Hemiptera; Aphididae
Source: the annotation of a GenBank genome assembly
AUGCGGUGUUCUUGGAAUGACUUGUGAUCACACGAUGAAUAAGUAUAGGGAACCGAUUUUUUUCCUCUCCACAGUGAUGGACCGUCCAAACACUUGAUGUAUCGCAUGCGUUGCAGUGAAGCACGUUAUUAUCGUUCGAAAAAGUUUCGUCUGGGAAAAAAAAUCACAGAUUAAAAUUUUAUUUGAACUGUAUCGCGGCUACUUUAGGCAUUGUUUGACAUUCGGUUUUCGAUUUAUAAUUCAAUGAUUAUUUUCACGCGAACGCGAACGCCAGUACUGGCGCUGUUGAAAAUUCGUGAAUAUAUU